CUGUUAUCCGAGGAUGUCCGAAUGUGGGAACCCCGCCGCAUGCGAGUGCGGUGACCCGCAUCUGAAUAUAUAGGGUGUGUGGAGGGAACGCGGGGAAGUGAAACAUCUCAGUACCCGUAGGAAGAGAAAACAAUAGUGAUUCCGAGAGUAGUGGCGAGCGAAAUAGGGUUAGGCUAAAACAAA
RNAcentral lists this ribosomal RNA (183 nucleotides) under Rhodosorus marinus. Its description in RNAcentral is "partial Bacterial large subunit ribosomal RNA". It matches the Rfam family "Bacterial large subunit ribosomal RNA", at positions 97 to 278 of the family's 2925-position model. The record is from RNAcentral. Lineage: Eukaryota; Rhodophyta; Stylonematophyceae; Stylonematales; Stylonemataceae.